GGGCGAUUAGCUCAUUUGGCUAGAGCGUCGCAUUGACGUUGCGAAGGUGAUAGGUUCGAAUCCUAUAUCGCCCACCA
Molecule: transfer RNA, 77 nt
Filed under: bacterium
Lineage: Bacteria
Also listed under: 2 other names
Description: tRNA-Val
Rfam family: tRNA
About the family: Transfer RNA (tRNA) molecules are approximately 80 nucleotides in length.
Source: RNAcentral